UUAUUAAAAACUUGUAUGCCUUCGCAUUUAAACAGUAAAUCUAGUCAUUUUGUCAUCUGCCUCACAGGUCCCUGCUGCUCAACAGAUGUUAAAUUUUCCUGAGAAGAACAAGGAGAAACCAAUUGAUUUGCAGAACUUUGGUCUUCGAACUGACAUUUACUCCAAGAAAACACUGGCAAAGGUAAAGGCUUUUAUAAACCCAUGUUGGCCACCCGCUCACAUGUCUUCUUUCUUGUAUAGGAAAUCCAGUCUGACUGGAGACAGCAAGGUUUCUGUUCAGGUCUGGUGCCCUUUCAGCAUUCAUGUAGGUGAUUAGCAGAUAGAUAUUUAAAUAACUACAGACAGGGUUUUGUGAAGGUAGUUCAAUUUCAAAAGUAAGUUAAAAUAUAUAGUGAGAAUCAUGUAAUAGGGCUGGAGAGAUGCCCAGCGGUUAAAAGUGCCAACUGUGGGGUUGGGGAUUUGGCUCAGUGGUAGAGUGCUUGCCUAGGAAGCGCAAGGUCCUGGGUUCAGUCCCCAGC
RNAcentral lists this long non-coding RNA (518 nucleotides) under Rattus norvegicus (Norway rat). RNAcentral describes it as "long non-coding RNA NONRATT028077". The stretch from base 454 to 516 matches the Rfam family "tRNA". The record is from RNAcentral. Lineage: Eukaryota; Metazoa; Chordata; Mammalia; Rodentia; Muridae.